RNAcentral lists this unclassified non-coding RNA (458 nucleotides) under Hevea brasiliensis (rubber tree). Lineage: Eukaryota; Viridiplantae; Streptophyta; Magnoliopsida; Malpighiales; Euphorbiaceae. The record is from RNAcentral.
AUUUAUCAAAAUAUAUCUAGUGCUUUAUACCUUUAACCAAUAUUUUGUCUAAGAUAUGAACAAAUUAAUUUGUAUGGAAUAAGUAGACAAUUAAUAUUAAGUAUAAUAUUAAUUAUAAAAGUACAUAUCUAAGUUAUAUAUGUAAAAGAUAGACUAAUGUUAAAUCUAAAUCUUAACCUUUUAAAAAUUUACAGUUUAAAGAGAGAGAUAUUAUAAAAAAAAUACUAGGAAAGGGAUACUAUAGAGAGUAAAAAUAAUUUAUGAAUAGAUUAGUUAGUGUUAAUAAAAAAAAAUAAACGAGAGACUGUAAAGAGAGAGAAAAUAAGAAUAAUGAUUAGAAUGAUUAGUAUUAAAUUUGGAGUUUAAUAUUUUAAAAGUUUAAAAUAUAGAGAGAAAGAGGAAGAGAGAGAUGAACUCAUAUUUUAAGUCAUACAAUCGCCACCAAAACUACAUAAUUA